GCUUUGAAGUUUAUUAAAAAGGUUACAGUGUGGAGUAAUAUUUCGUUAUGUACAAACUAUUUACAGGAGAUGUCAAGCCCAAAGGAACAAUAGUAAUCAUAACCGUAAGACGACGAAGACGAACCACUGAUGAACGACGGCGGAACGGAUGGCUUUGGGGUGAGAGGAAGGAAGGAGAAAUAGGAAAUGAGAUUAAGAAGAAACGAAAGGGGAGUGAAUGUGGGAUAAAAAGAGGGAGAUGAGGAGAAGUGAGAACAGGCGAAGAGUAAAAGGAAACAGACGGAAAUGGUAAAGACUUAGUAAGAGGAAGGAAGGAGGAGAAAGAGGAGAGGAGAUUAAGAAGAAACGAAAGGGGAGUGAAUGUCGGAUAAAAAAAAGGAGAUGAGGAGAAAUGAGAACAGGCGAAGAGUAAAAGGAGACAAAUGCAUGGAAAUGGUAAAGACUUAGUACAAUAUCACUGGUAUCUUAGUAGUACUUUAUAAACAAUUUUUUUUAAUUCACAAUAGUACGCCGAUUACGUCCAUGCUCACUCAGCUUACAGUAACAUUGAUGAAGGUAAGGUAAAUAAAAGGUAAAGUAUGGUAAGGUAAGGUAAGGUAAGGGAAGGUAAGGUAAGGAAGUGAAAGGUAAAAGGAAAGGCAAGGUAAGGUAAGGUAUAGGGAUAGCAGAGAAAAGGAGAAGGGAGGAGCAGAGAAGGGAUGGAAAGGGAAGAGAAGAAAAUGAAUGAAAGGAUAGGGAAGGGAAGGGAAGGUAACGUAAGGUAAAGGAAUAGCAGAGAAAAGGAGGAGAAGGGAAGAGCAGAGAAGAGAAGGGAAGGGAAGAGAAGGAUAAUGAAGAGAAGGAUUGGGAAGGGAAGAGAAAGUAAGGUAAUGGAAAAUUAACUCCCUAUUUAUCAACUCUAUACAAACUACACAUCAUUUGGUCUUACAACGCAAUAUAUAUGAUUAAUUUUAUCACUCUGCAAUAACAAUCAGAAACUCAUUAACAGCAUUCGAUUCUAAAUAACAAACACCAUAAUCAUAAUAAUUUUCCCAUGGUAACAGAAUACGUUAUCGUUAUCGGGUACAGCAGUUGGAAAGUUUCGUUUAGUCGGCGCAACAUCUGUGGUCAUAAUUAUGCCGAAGAGAGACAGGAGGGGAAGGGAUUGUAGCCGUAACGAAGGGCAGAACAGUUAGGUAUGAAGUCACAGGUUUUCUUCUUCUAGUUGUUGUUUAGAUUAUAAAAAAAAAGGAUGAAACAAAUGACUAAGGAAAAGUGAGCAAAGAGGAGAAUAACAGGAUUAACAAAAUAGCCAAUCCUGUGAGUAGUUAAUGGAGGAGGAAGAAAGGGAGAAAAUAAAAUGAAAAAUGAAGAAUAGGAUGACAAAAAAUAGCCAGUCCUGUGAGUAGUUAAAGGAUGAAUAAGAAAUGGAGGAUAUAAUGAAAAAUUAAUUAGGGAAAAAAACUCAGAUAAACUCACCCAGAAGGAAAGAAAAGGAAAGGUAAAAUAAGGUUAAGUAAGGAAGAGGAAUAGAAAAGAGGGAAAUGGAGAGUGAGGUAAGGGAAGGUAAAGGAAGGUAAGGAGAUAGAGGAGAGAGAGAAAGGGAAAAGAAGGCAAGGUAAGGGAAGGUAAAGGAAGGUAAGGAGAUAGAGGAGAGAGAGAAAGGGAAGAGAAGGCAAGGUAAGGUAAUGUAAGGUAUUGAGAAGAGAGAAGAAAAAAUGUAAGUUAAGGUAAGGUAAGGUAAGGUAAGGAGAUAGAGGAGAGAGAGAAAGGGAAGAGAAGGCAAGGUAAGGUAAUGUAAGGUAUUGAGAAGCGAGAAGAAAAAAUGUAAGGUAAGGUAAGGUAAGGUAAGGUAAGGUAAGGUUAGGUUAGGUUAGGUUAGGUAAGGUAAGGUUAGGUUAGGUUAGGUAAGGUAAGGUAAGGUAAGGUAAGGUAAGGUAAGGUAAGGUAAGGUAAGGUAAGGUUAGGUUAGGUUAGGUAAGGUAAGGUAAGGUAAGGUAAGGUUAGGUUAGGUUAGGUUAGGUUAGGUAAGGUAAGGUAAGGUAAGGUAAGGUAAGGUAAAGUGGCUCAAGUGUGUCCUUUCCUACAUUCCUUCACUUGCCUUAACCUUUCUCGCUCCCUUCGUUAACCAUUCCUUCUUCUCGUAUCCCUCCUUCAUCCCUCCCGCCUUCCUUCUCUUUUAUUGAUAUUUCUGAUACUUUGUUCAUUCGGUCCCUUCCCUUCCCUUCUCUCUCUCUCUCUCUCUCUCUCUCUCUCUCUCUCUCUCUCUCUCUCUCUCUCUCUCUCUCUCUCUCUCUCUCCCCUUCAGCCUCUCACUCCGGCUUGCACGCAUUAAACUCUCACUCACAUUCACCCACACAUCUAAAACUCCCCUUCUGCCCUAGUUCUUGCAAUACUUCUAAAACUCCGCCCCCACUCACUCCCUCUGUCCCUCCCCAUCCCCGUCUCCCAACCCUCCCCCCUCCCCCCGCCAACUCAGCUCUCCCACAUUCCAUCAGUGCGUCAUCUAUACACCGAUACUCGUGUUCCUUGAUUUUAUUUUCCUGGAGAAGCGUGCAUGUUUGGGUCUAGCCACGCCACUCACCACCGCGAGGCAAACACGACACUUAAAAGGCCCUUCACACUUGUUGACACGCACGAUAACACGCAUUCUCACACCCACCCACUCACAAGCGCACACACACACACACACACACACACACACACACUGAAUCUCUCCUAGCUAUUAAAGGAUUUGGUGGUCAGAGGAUUGGUGGAAGGUAGGUAAAAGAAAGGCAAGAAAAAUCGUAAGACACACCGUUCUACAUUUAUGAUUAUGAAAUGAUGCUCUUGUAGGGUAACGAGGUACCAAGAGAGGGGAAGGUCAGACUUAUGUAAAAAUGCAUAUCCGUAAACGAACAGCACCUCAGGUGGAACUAAUGACUGGAAGAUGAGAUUAGGAAGAGUUGCGACGGGAGUGGAACUGAAAGGAGAACGAGGGAAAUGGAGAAUGAGUGAUAGAAAGGCAUGUGAGGGGAAUGUGCUGCAGAACGAGAAUAGGAAGAGAAGAGAUAAAAUGAAGGAGGGAGAGGAAGAGGGAUGAGGAGGUAGAAUGAGCCGGUCGUCGUCCAAUGAACAGAAGACAACACAACACAUCACUGCGGGGCCGACGUAAGAAAGCACGAGACGCGAGCAAAACAUAAUCAUCGUCAUGUCAGUACGUUGUGCGUGGAACUGUUUGAUUGGUAUAAAGCUGCUGCUGCUGCUGCUGCUGCUCCCUCUUCACCUCUCCUCCCGUAUCAAGUAUUUUUCGAUCGACUUGCAGGAAUAAGGAAAACCUGAUGACGAUGCCUCCGCUGUUUGUACUGAAUAUCAGAAGGCGAGAGGCAUAAACGACUUGAAAUGGAACAGAGAGAGGAAGGAUGGAGUGAGGGAAGACGCUGAGGAGGGAGGGAGGCAGGGAGCCGGGUAGCAGCCGUGCGAAAGACCGGAGAACACGGAGCUCGGCACACACACAAAAAGAAAAAGGAAACUAGAACUCAGUCGUUGAUUGGCCAGUUGUAGAUGAGAUGCACAGCAGCCGCAUUGCCGCCGUGUGCGUGGGUCACGGGGAAGUGGAGGUGUGCUGACACCCUCUAACAGGUAGUGCGGGGAGGGUGUCGGACCCCAGGAGACCCCAGCCCCCCACGCUCCAGCCCGCGUUGCAGCACCUCUAGGCUCGUGGCGCCCCGUCCCACGCGUGGCACGAGUAUUGCUAAGUACAUGGAUGAGGACUAGCGACUGGAGACUUUUUCGCGCUCCUCAACGUUCUAUGUUAUCAGUUAAGGGACCAUUACUCCUACAACAUCCAGGAAUAUAUUAUGUAUUAUGAGAGUGAUGAGUUCCGAUACAUUACGCCGGUCUGCUACGUAAAUGUUUGUCUACUGCUACGAAAUGGACUGGAGUAACCAAAAGUCGCUACAGUUUUUCUCGACAUGACUUACAAUAUGAUUGUCGAAAUGUGAAACAAUAUAAAGAAGUUUAAACAUGGCGAUGUUGACGGUGUUCUCCGGCGUGGGCGGCAGCGUGGCCGGCCGUGAACUGAUAUGUAGCCGGCGACGUGACGCCAGUCGGCGGCCGGGACCUCCGCCGGCGAAGCGGCGUCCAGCCGGCGGCGAGGAGGCUCGGCGCUCACACAGCAAGGUCAAGCUGGCCUGCCCUUGACCACACCAUCAAGGUGUUACCGUUAGUGCUGGAAAGAUGCGCCGCUCAUCACUGACGGCUUGUGACUACGAGUACUUCUGCUACCGGGGAGGUUUGGACAUGUAAUGGGGUGAAACAUUGUAAAGAGUAACUAUCGUACACUAAAAACAAGACUACCGAGUAUGCCAAACGCGAGCCUGGCGAGGGCAGCAGCAUGGUAUACUUGUGGCACGGCGGGCAGGACACUGGGCCACGAGGUGUGCCAGCCCGGCUCUGCCCCGUACGGCAGCCAGCACUGCUCGCCAGGCCGCGGCGCGGCGCGUGGCGCGUCGCGGCCAGCGCUGCCCAGGGCGUUGUCGCAUAGCCCACCUGAAACAACAAUAAGUCAACAGACUAUUACUGUCUACAGGUCGCUCGUGACGUAACAAGAGCGUGUGGGUGAACCAGCGCGUCGCGUGAACGAGGGAACUCUUGACAUCGUGGAAUGCAAAGGACUUCGACUUGACACCCAAAAAAUAUAAGAUAUUAUAUAUAUGUAUAUUUAUAUAUAGGGACCUAUCUAAUAGAUCGUUUCGCGUAUAACUUUUACAUGUUCAUAACAGUAACCAUUUGUUGUAUCAACUAUGUCAUAAAUAACAAUAAAAUACGCAACAUAUUAACACCACAUUUGAUAUCGUCCUGCAGCGGCACCAGCGCGGCGGUGUUCGGGAACGUGAAGUGAGCGACGCAGAGUGGCGGCGGCGGCGACGCGACCCCCGCCGCCAAGGACACGCGGAGCCUGGCUGCCCGCCGCGCACCACCGCAGACACGCCGCCACCCCCGCCACGGUGGCCACCACAGCCACGACGCGCUGGCAGGGCACGGCACGGGCUGUGGCGCCCCGCGGCGUGGGCGGAUGUGCUGCACCAUGCGGCGGGGGUCCUGAGAGGGCGCGGCCCGGCAGACAGACAAGUAUAAGGCGCAAGGGCCGUGGAGAGAGAACUCCCUCCAAGGUCACAGUGUCUCGCUUAUGGAGAGUACAGUUAAUAUUAUAACUGUGAACAGCACAAAUAUAUAUAUAUAUAUAUAUAUA
Molecule: long non-coding RNA, 5212 nt
Organism: Eriocheir sinensis (Chinese mitten crab)
Lineage: Eukaryota; Metazoa; Arthropoda; Malacostraca; Decapoda; Varunidae
Exons: 3
Source: RefSeq, a predicted model, not a curated record